ACUCAAAGGAAUAGACGGGGGCCCGCACAAGCGGUGGAGUAUGUGGUUUAAUUCGACGCAACGCGAAGAACCUUACCUGGGCUCGAAGGCCAGAUGGUAUUGAACUGAAAAGGGAUAGACCCCGCAAGGGGAGUCUGGUCAGGUGCUGCAUGGCUGUCGUCAGCUCGUGUCGUGAGAUGUUGGGUUAAGUCCCGCAACGAGCGCAACCCUUGUCUUUAGUUGCCAUCAUUUAGUUGGGCACUCUAAAGAGACCGCCAGCGUCAAGCUGGAGGAAGGUGGGGAUGACGUCAAGUCCUCAUGGCCCUUACGUCCAGGGCUACACACGUACUACAAUGGCCGGUACAAAACGCAGCAAACCCGUGAGGGGGAGCCAAUCGGCAAAAGCCGGCCUCAGUACAGAUUGGAGUCUGCAACUCGACUCCAUGAAGUCGGAAUCGCUAGUAAUCGUCAAUCAGCAGGUGACGGUGAAUACGUUCCCGGGCCUUGCACACACCGCCCGU
Molecule: ribosomal RNA, 500 nt
Filed under: uncultured bacterium
Lineage: Bacteria
Description: partial 16S ribosomal RNA
Rfam family: Bacterial small subunit ribosomal RNA
Source: RNAcentral